Rosa chinensis is the source of this 1474-nucleotide long non-coding RNA. RefSeq lists it as uncharacterized. Lineage: Eukaryota; Viridiplantae; Streptophyta; Magnoliopsida; Rosales; Rosaceae. The transcript is spliced from 9 exons. The record is from RefSeq and is a predicted model, not a curated record.
UAUGCUCUCAGGUCAUUGACAACGGUGCAGGUCACUGAAAUUUGGUAACAGCUACUAUACCUAAUUACUGUUGAUUUUUAUUUUAUUUUAAUCUUAUUAGUUUUUUCUUCCUGAAUCUCCUGUGAGGGUUUGGGGAACUCAUCAAUCCACCCUUCAUUUUGCAGGGCACCGUGGGUCCUUUGGAUCCUAUUGUUUCCAUUUGGCGCUUACCAGUGCUUGUAACAAUUGUUGUUUUGGUUGUUUUUCUAUGGUGGGCAGAAUAUAUAGGAUAUGGUUCAACACAGUGUAAGACUAAUUCAGUUUUGUUUUCUUUUUUCUUUCCCUCACUUUUUAAAGCUCGUUAUAGCUUCUGCAGUUAAGAUACAGUACGUAUCAGUUCUUGUUUUGAUGACUACAUCUAAAGCUUUGUUUUAGUUUUUUCCCCACUUCAGUUUCCAAAUAAUAUUGUUUUCGUCUUGUGUGGUUUACUAAGAAACUUAGAAGUCAUCAUAUGAUUUAUGCAUUCAGAAUCGCCAAGGCUUCUCGCGUUGCAUCAGAACAUGAGAUAAGUACUUCCACUGUUUCAAAUUCCAUGCUCUGGUUUCUAAAGUGGUUGCCAUGUGUUUUACUCAUAUGGCGACCUGUUCUGUAACAUGUCUGUAGAACUGAAGCAAUGUGUUUUGAAUUUGUUUCUAGGGCUUAGCUUAUGUUCUAGCAAUGUGUUCUACUCAAAUGGUGGCCUGUCCUUAACAUGUAUGUAGAACUUAGCUUCUGUUCUCGCAAAGAAUGGUUCAUCUCUGCUUCUCUUGAUAGAUCUGUUCUGCUUUGGGAUCAGAUGGGUAAGAAGUGCCAGCUCCGUUAUAGCUUCUGCAAUUAAGAUACAGUAUCAGUUCUUGUUUUGAUGACUACAUCUAAACCUUUGUUUUCGGGUCCUAAUAUCUGUUGUGCGUAUUUUUAGUGUGGAGAGAAUCUAUGCACGGUUUAGGGGGAGAGGCUGAUGCUAGAAUGGAAGCAUGUUCUUAAAUACACAAACAAUACAAGGAAGCACUGGGAAAUAUGCUUUUAGCGCGUGGCCUCACUUAGCUUCAUAUCAGAGUUCUCCAGGUGCAAAGAAUAAGACCGAUUCCAAUAGCACAACUAUAUUUGUUGGAAAUCUGGAUGCUAACAUUACUGAUGAUCCAGUAUGGUGAGCUAGUACAUGUUAAGACACCAGCAGGCAAGUGAUGUGGGUUUGUUCAGUUCACAGACAGGAGCCGUGCUGCUGAGGCUUUGCAAGGAUUAAACAAUUCUCAGCUUGGGGAACAAAAUAUCCAACUUUCUUGGGGUUGCAGUCCUUCAAACAAGCAGCAGCAGGCUCAGGCAGAUCCAAACCAAUGGAAUGCUGGCUAUUAUGGAUACUAGCUCCGACUCAGCUUCCUAUUGUUUUUCUUUGUCCCUGUAAAUAAAUCCUUACCUGCACAUGUAUUUCACUCUGUGAGGUUGUAUGUGAUAUGCA